AAUAAGUGCAGUUAUGUGUUUCCACAUCCAACAUUUGACCGUCCGUCUUAUUUGAAAAAGAAUUAUGAUUAAUAUUUUUGUUCUCAAUACACAAUAAAACAUGAAUAGUACUUUCAGUGUGACUAAUUUUAUUUAUUUUUUUCAUAUUUUUUUAAAUAAGACAAACGGUCAAACUUUGGACAUGGAAAAUUACAAUUGUACUUAUA
This is a non-coding RNA of Oryza meridionalis, 206 nucleotides long. Lineage: Eukaryota; Viridiplantae; Streptophyta; Magnoliopsida; Poales; Poaceae. The record is from Rfam.